This 107-nucleotide non-coding RNA is filed under the name Ctenophora environmental sample. Lineage: Eukaryota; Metazoa; Ctenophora. The record is from RNAcentral.
GAAAAGAUGGUGUGUGUAUGUGUGUGUUUUUUGUUUUCUUUCGUAUUUUCUUUUCAUUUCUGCCUCUGCAUCUCUUUUUUCCUUUCUUCUUUCUUCCGCCAUUUUUU